Molecule: small RNA, 96 nt
Filed under: Arabidopsis thaliana (thale cress)
Lineage: Eukaryota; Viridiplantae; Streptophyta; Magnoliopsida; Brassicales; Brassicaceae
Description: ATSL302660
Source: RNAcentral
UCUUUUGCUCGUCUUCUAACUUCUCCUUCACCUUCUCAUCAACAACAUCUUCGUCUUUGUUGUUCUUCUUCUUCUUCUUCUCCUUCUUUCUCUCCC